This 224-nucleotide ribosomal RNA is filed under the name uncultured bacterium. RNAcentral's name for it is "partial 16S ribosomal RNA". It matches the Rfam family "Bacterial small subunit ribosomal RNA", at positions 122 to 334 of the family's 1533-position model. The record is from RNAcentral.
CAAUCUGUCCCUACAUUCCGGAUAAUUGGCCGAAAGGCCUUGUAAUACGGGCGAGGAUGGUGGUGAGGCAUCUCACUAUCAGGGAAGGUGCAACGCAAGUUGUGCCGUGCAGGGAGGGGUUCGCGGCCUAUCAGUUAGUUGGUGGGGUAACGGCCUACCAAGACGACGACGGGUAGCUGGUCUGAGAGGAUGGUCAGCCACAUUGGAACUGAGACACUGUCCAG